This 440-nucleotide ribosomal RNA is filed under the name uncultured bacterium. Its description in RNAcentral is "partial 16S ribosomal RNA". It matches the Rfam family "Bacterial small subunit ribosomal RNA", at positions 338 to 795 of the family's 1533-position model. The record is from RNAcentral.
CCUACGGGAGGCAGCAGUGGGGAAUAUUGGGCAAUGGAGGCAACUCUGACCCAGCAACGCCGCGUGAGCGAUGAAGGUCUUCGGAUUGUAAAGCUCUUUAGGACGUGACGAAGAAGGUGACAGUGCCUACAGAAGAAGCGUCCAACUUCGUGCCAGCAGCCGCGGCAAUAAGAAGGGGGAGGGCGUCGUUCGGAAUUAUGGGGCGUAAAGGGUGUGUAGGAGGUUCUGUAGGAUGGUAGUGAAGUUCCGGGGCUCAACACCGGAACUGCCAUUAUGAAAAUCGACCUAGAGUAGUGGAGAGGAUAGCGGAAUACCCAGUGUAGAGGUGAAAUGCGUAGAUAUUGGGUAGAACACCGGUGGCGAAGGCGGCUAUCUGGCCAUUUACUGACGCUGAGGCACGAAAGCGUGGGGAUCAAACAGGAUUAGAUACCCUAGUAGUC